AGUGUGAGGGGUCACUGAUGUUAUGCCAUGAUAGUGAUCUCAGAUUGAAUCCUGAACAGUGGAUGAUUCAACAAAGAAAGUCCACUCCUGCUGCAAAGGAUAAGGGGGGGCCAGGAGAAGCCUUCCUCUCCCCCUCUCUCGCUCGUCCCUUCUUCUCGGCAGGAGGUCAGCUGUGACCACCUCCUCACAGAUAAAAGACACAGCACACCUCUGCCCGCUCUCUUCUCUUCAGCACUCUUCUACAGACCACCUCUCCAGGACAAGGGAGAGGGCCUGAACCAUGGGGCCAUAUGGCCUCAUCUGCUGGAACAUCUGAAAGAUUGCCUGGGCCAACAACACUUGAUCUAGGGUCUGCUAGAUUCGACUGCCUGCUUCAGCAGAGGACCUGACUGAAUCCGGACAAACAACAUGUCCGGGCAAAUACAGAGCUAAGUUGCAGUCCUAACUUCACAAUCAGAUGCAGGGAAAAAAAUCCGGCAUCUGAAACAGCUCUGUGUAUUUUUCCUCAGCCUGUACAGGGAAGUGAACACCAAUGGAGCUGAAGGCUGGAUGCUGAGGAAAACCCCUGCUCAUCGAACUGCAGCCGGUUAAGAGAACGUGCUCACACCAGGCCUCCGACCCAACCACGGCGUUAGCCACAUGCUGCUGUAAGGCUAAUGCUAGCCUUACAAGAGCCAAGCGCUAGCCCGCUAGCGCUAACCAACAACUUCCUCCUUCAACGCCCCUUCCGUGAAUGGCCAAACUGAACAGAAUUGAAAAGGACAGGUUUGGGCAGCGGGCUGAGGGUGAAGUAAAAGGUUUAUUGGCAAAAUGUUUCGUAAACCGUGGUGUUUAGAACGAAGGGCUAACCGGUAGGUCGCGCUAGCUAACAGGAUAUUAGCCUUGCUAACAUCCGGUUUCGGACCCCUAAAAAGGAGUCCGUUUUAAAGCGUAGAGCGUAAAUGUUCUGCUCUGCCAUCCUCCGAUGGUGUUAUAAGCCUUAUUCCCGCAUCAAUAUGGUAUAUUAAUGUCGGUUUUCAAGGCAAUUUCGACAGCUUUAUGUUGUAACCUCUUAGCCACCGAGUUGCCACAGCGACCCCAUGCACCCGGAGGGAGAAUCGCAUU
This is a long non-coding RNA of Fundulus heteroclitus (mummichog), 1104 nucleotides long. RefSeq lists it as uncharacterized. Lineage: Eukaryota; Metazoa; Chordata; Actinopteri; Cyprinodontiformes; Fundulidae. The transcript has 2 exons. The record is from RefSeq and is a predicted model, not a curated record.